UGGAAACUCUGCUUCUCUUCCUGCUUUCAUCCGUGAGAAAUUAGAGGUACAAUCUUCGUCUCCUAUCUGAUUUUUCACAUUACGUAGUUUCAAUUUUCAAGAAGAGGAAUCAGUUCUGCAUCUUCUUUUGCGUUUUUAAUUCUCCAGAAUCUAUCUUUUCUUUAAUUCAAGCGUGCCAAUGUUCAGGAUUCUUGAAGCUUUUGAUAAAUCUUGUUUUCUUCAGUGGAGUCGUUUAUUGAUGUUAAAUUCUAGCUUCAAAAGCUAUGCUAAACGCGGUGGAUGUAUGAAUAUAGCCUAAAACUGUGUCAAUUAGAAUAAAUUUGGGUAACUGCGAAUCAACUUGGAUUGUAAUUCAAAGUUGCAUAGAACGGACAUUUUCCGAUUGUUACAGAUGAUUUUGUGAAUUUCUCUAUCUCAAAAUCAAGAAAUCACAGAAGGAAGAGGAUAGAAAUGAAGGCACAAUCAGUCAUGGCAGGAAGCACAAGUUCGCUAUGUUUUGUUGGCUCUCUCAAGAGGAUAAGGCCGCGUUUCAUUGUUUUCUCUCAACAAAGAGAACCAACAGGUCGAGCUUUAGCCCGCAAGUGCAGAUUAUAUGGGAGUGGAAGAGAGAUCAAAGCGUCUAUGGCAAUGACAAGGAAAUUUUUGUAGAUUGUGCAUCAUUAAUACACACUUUACAUUGGAAAAGAAUGCCUCAUCUAGCUCAUGAACUCUUGCUAGAGAUGAAAUCCCAGGGCUUUCUACCCAGCAACUCUACCCUUUCAGCUAUGAUGCUUUGCUAUGCCAAUAAUGGCCUUUUCCCUCAAGCUCAAGUGCUAUGGGAGGAAUUGUUGAAUUCUUCUUUUAUGCCUAGUAUUCAAACAGUUGCUCAAAUAUUUGACGCUUAUGGAAAGUGGGGACUUUUUAAUGAAGUAAUGAAAAUUCUGGACCAAUUAAGUUACAGCAAUUUCAGCUCGUUACAUGAGGCUUACUCACUGGCUAUAUCUUGCUUUGGAAAGGGAGGGCAGCUUCAGUUGAUGGAAAAAACGUUGAAGGAGAUGAUCUUGAGGGGUUUCCCAGUAGACUCUGCCACCGGGAAUGCCUUUAUCAGAUAUUCAAGUAUCCAUGGUUCUUUGACUGAGAUGGAAGCUGCUUAUAUUCGCUUGAAAAGGUCUAGACAUCUCAUAGACACAGAAGGAAUCAGAGCAAUGUCAUUUAAAUAUAUAAAGGAAAAGAAAUUUUACAAGCUAGGUGAGUUCCUGAGGAAUGUGGGUCUUGGUAGGAAAGAUGUGGGAAACCUUAUAUGGAACUUUCUGCUUUUAUCUUAUGCUGCCAAUUUCAAAAUGAAAAGUUUGCAAAGGGAAUUUUUGAGCAUGUUGGAAGCUGGUUUCAGUCCAGAUCUCACUACAUUUAAUAUUCGAGCUUUGGCUUUUUCAAGAAUGGCUUUGUUGUGGGAUCUCCAUCUUAGCAUUGAACACAUGAAGCAUGAAAAGGUUUCUCCUGAUCUUGUGACUUAUGGUUGUGUUGUAGAUGCAUACUUGGAUAGAAGACUAGGUAAAAACUUGGACUUUGCCCUCAACAAAAUGAAUUUGGAUGUUUCUCCGGUACUAUCAACCGAUCCAUCUGUGUUUGAGGUUUUGGGUAAAGGGGAUUUUCAUUCAAGCGCAGAAGCAUUUUUAGAGUCUUCCCUGCACAGGAAAUGGACUUACAGGGAACUUGUUUCGCUAUAUCUCAGGAAACAGUACCGAAGUAACCAGAUCUUUUGGAACUACUAAGCAGUGACGAUACGAGGACUUCUCGAAGAUCACAGGGAUGAGCACCAUAUGGGAGUUCAUUGGAGCGAUGGUGACUGGUGAUGGAUCUCAUGCGUCAUCUCAUUUGAAGAUUCAAUAGGGUUAAGGUGCUUUUGUAUAAGAAUUGGGUCAUCCUUGCCUUUUUCACUACACUUGU
Molecule: unclassified non-coding RNA, 1926 nt
Filed under: Hevea brasiliensis (rubber tree)
Lineage: Eukaryota; Viridiplantae; Streptophyta; Magnoliopsida; Malpighiales; Euphorbiaceae
Source: RNAcentral